RNAcentral lists this ribosomal RNA (401 nucleotides) under uncultured bacterium. RNAcentral describes it as "partial 16S ribosomal RNA". It matches the Rfam family "Bacterial small subunit ribosomal RNA", at positions 338 to 731 of the family's 1533-position model. The record is from RNAcentral.
CCUACGGGUGGCAGCAGUGGGGAAUAUUGCGCAAUGGGCGAAAGCCUGACGCAGCGACGCCGCGUGAGGGAUGAAGGUCCUCGGAUCGUAAACCUCUGUCAGCAGGGAAGAACGGUCACUGUGCUAAUCAGCAGUGAAUUGACGGUACCUGCAAAGGAAGCACCGGCUAACUCCGUGCCAGCAGCCGCGGUAAUACGGAGGGGCCGAGCGUUAAUCGGAAUUACUGGGCGUAAAGGGCGCGUAGGCGGUAUGUCAAGUCAAGGGUGAAAGCCCGGGGCUCAACGGGGGAACUGCCUUUGAAACUGGCAGACUGGAGUGUGUGAGAGGAUAGCGGAAUUCGAGGUGUAGCGGUGAAAUGCGUAGAUAUCAGGAGGAACAUCGGUGGCGAAGGCGACUAUCUG